UACGGAGGGGGUUAGCGUUGUUCGGAAUUACUGGGCGUAAAGCGCGCGUAGGCGGAUCAGAAAGUUGGGGGUGAAAUCCCGGGGCUCAACCCCGGAAUUGCCUUCAAAACUCCUGGUCUUGAGUUCGAGAGAGGUGAGUGGAAUUCCGAGUGUAGAGGUGAAAUUCGUAGAUAUUCGGAGGAACACCAGUGGCGAAGGCGGCUCACUGGCUCGAAACUGACGCUGAGGUGCGAAAGCGUGGGGAGCAAUCAGG
Molecule: ribosomal RNA, 253 nt
Filed under: uncultured bacterium
Lineage: Bacteria
Description: partial 16S ribosomal RNA
Rfam family: Bacterial small subunit ribosomal RNA
Source: RNAcentral